UUUAAUUUCACCUGAAUCUAGUAAUGCCCAUAAUGAGUACAUCCCAUGGUAACAGUAUUUCCUCGAACUUAAUGCAUACAACAGAAGUAUCACUAUUGAUCUUAGUGGUUAUAUACAGACAGCGACCGCAAGAGCAAUCCCCUUCACAGUUCUUCGCACCAACUCUGAUGCCCUCCCGCGCUUCGGCUCGUGAGGGAUGGCCUCAUCUUGAUGAUUGCAGAAUCGUUGGCUCCAGCUCUCAGAGCAGCCCUUCCAGCUUCCAGGAAGCUCCUCACCGCGUUCUCUGCGUAUCUAUUGGCCUGGCCGACCGUCAUGGAUUUGCCAAGGUCUGGAUAGGUGUUAAGCACGUAGUCACCGUUCAGCUGUUGCGCGAGUUGGAUCAGUUCAACUUGGAACUCGGAGAGUUU
RNAcentral lists this long non-coding RNA (407 nucleotides) under Eucalyptus grandis. Its description in RNAcentral is "long non-coding RNA (EGRA_LNC000944)". Lineage: Eukaryota; Viridiplantae; Streptophyta; Magnoliopsida; Myrtales; Myrtaceae. The record is from RNAcentral.